UUUCCGUAGGUGAACCUGCGGAAGGAUCAUUAUUGAAUAAACCUGAUGUGACUGUUAGCUGGCUUUUCGAAGCAUGUGCUCGUCCGUCAUCUUUAAUCUCUCCACCUGUGCACAUUUUGUAGUCUUGGAUACCUCUCGAGGCAACUCGGAUUUUAGGAUCGCCGUGCUGCACAAGUCGGCUUUCCUUUCAUUUCCAAGACUAUGUUUUUAUAUACACCAAAGUAUGUCUAAAGAAUGUCAUCAAUAGGAACUUGUUUCCUAUAAAAUUAUACAACUUUCAGCAACGGAUCUCUUGGCUCUC
RNAcentral lists this unclassified non-coding RNA (301 nucleotides) under plant metagenome. RNAcentral's name for it is "partial contains small subunit ribosomal RNA, internal transcribed spacer 1, and 5.8S ribosomal RNA". The record is from RNAcentral.